Molecule: long non-coding RNA, 1123 nt
Filed under: Salmo salar (Atlantic salmon)
Lineage: Eukaryota; Metazoa; Chordata; Actinopteri; Salmoniformes; Salmonidae
Description: lncRNA (ENSSSAG00000103307.1)
Source: RNAcentral
GUGGCAGGACAGUAGUUGUUUGAGUGGCAGGACAGUAGGUUUUUGAGUGGCAGGACAGUAGGUUUUUGAGUGGCAGGACAGUAGGUUUUUGAGUGGCAGGACAGUAGGUGUUUGAGUGACAGGACAGUAGUUGUUUGAGUGGCAGGACAGUAGUUGUUUGAGUGGCAGGACAGUAGAUCUUUGAGUGGCAGGACAGUAGUUGUUUGAUUGGCAGGACAGUAGUUGUUUGAGUGGCAGUACAGCAGUUGUUUGAGUGGAAGGACAAUAGUUGUUUGAGUGGCAGGACAGUAGUUGUUUGAGUGGCAGAACAGUAGUUGUUUGAGUGACAUGAAAGUAGGUUUUUGCGUGGCAGGCCAGUAGUUGUUUGAGUGGCAGGACAGUAGUUGUUUGAGUGGCAGGACAGUAGAUGUUUGAGUGGCAGGAUAGUAGUUGUUUGAGUGGCAGGACAGCAGUUGUUUGAGUGACAGGACAGUAGUUGUUUGAGUGGCAGGACAGCAGUUGUUUGAUUGACAGGACAGUAUUUGUUUGAGUGGCAGGACAGUAGUUGUUUGAGUGACAGGACAGUAGUUGUUUGAGUGGCAGGACAGUAGUUGUUUGAGUGGCAGGCCAGUAGUUGUUUGAGUGACAGGACAGUAGUUGUUUGAGUGGCAGGACAGUAGUUGUUUGAGUGGCAGGACAGGAGUUGUUUGAGUGGAAGGACAGUAGUUGUUUGUCUGGCGGGACAGUAGCUGUUUGAGUGGCAGGACAGUAGGUUUUUGAGUGGCAGGACAGUAGUUGUUUGAGUGGCUGUCACAUAAUACAUCGUACUGUUGAAAGGAGGACCAAGGCGUAGCGGGAAUAUGGAUGCUCAUAUUUUAAUUUAAAAAAAAGGAGUAAAGCAUCCACUGAAAAAACAAUAAACAAAACAAUGAACAGUACUCACGAUAUGACUGUUUAGCAGGCUAAACCCCCCCCAAAAAAAGCAAUGCUGACAACCAUUCCCCACAAACACACAGACAAACACACCCAACUAAUAUAGGACUUCCAAUCAAAGGCAACACCACACAGCUGCCUUCAAUUGGAAGUCCACCACAAUUACCUCUACAUAGAAACACCCAACCUAGACAAAACAAAGAAAACCCAA